Mycena leptocephala is the source of this 90-nucleotide non-coding RNA. NCBI's taxonomy places the organism in Eukaryota, Fungi, Basidiomycota, Agaricomycetes, Agaricales, Mycenaceae. The record is from the annotation of a GenBank genome assembly.
GACUCGGUGGCGGAUGGUCCGCGUCCACAAUCUGUAUUGACAAGGAUUGGGUUAUGGUGGAAGUCGCCUGUUCGAAUCAGGCCCGAGUCA